UACGUAGGGGGCUAGCGUUGUCCGGAAUCAUUGGGCGUAAAGCGCGUGUAGGCGGUCCGGUAAGUCCGCUGUGAAAGUCGGGGGCUCAACCCUCGGAUGCCGGUGGAUACUGUCGGGCUUGAGUACGGAAGAGGCGAGUGGAAUUCCUGGUGUAGCGGUGAAAUGCGCAGAUAUCGAGAGGAACACCUGCGGCGAAGGCGGGUUGCUGGGCCGACACUGACGCUGAUGCGCGAAAGCCAGGGGAGCGAACGGG
This 253-nucleotide ribosomal RNA is filed under the name uncultured bacterium. RNAcentral's name for it is "partial 16S ribosomal RNA". It matches the Rfam family "Bacterial small subunit ribosomal RNA", at positions 524 to 776 of the family's 1533-position model. The record is from RNAcentral.